AGCGUCCCCAACUGCCUGGACUGAGAACCCCAGGGUUGUUAGGAGCUGUUCCGAGAGGGAAAUAAGUUUCUCUCUUAAAGCUCAAGGAGGGCUUAUCAGGCUUUCUGGGUAUUCUGUGAGGCAUAAGCUCACUAGAAGGGCUGCAUCAAACUUACCUGGAACGAAUGGCAAGGACUCUUGACGUGUGUCUUUAACCCAUCUUGCCAAUUAGAUCAUGAAUCACUGCAGGUAGUGUCUUUUCUUGAGGUCUGCAGAAGCUUCAGGAUUUUUAACACACUUCUUUGACCACACUGGGCAGCAAAAUGUUUGUUUGUUGACUUUCUUUUUCUUUUUUAUGAGACAGAGCGUUGCUCUGUUGCCAGGCUGGAGUGCAGUGGUGCAAUCUCGGCUCACUGCAACCUCCGCCUCCAGCGUUCAAGUGAUUCUCCUGCCUCAGCCUCCUGAGUAGCUGGGACUACAGGUGCAUGCCACCACACCUGGCUAAUUUUUGUAUUUUUAAUACAGAUGGGAUUUCACCAUGUUGGCCAGGAUGAUCUUGAACUCCUGAUCUCGUGAUCCGCCCACCUCGGCCUCCCAAAGUGCUGGGAUUACAGGUGUCAGCCACCACACCCAGCCUCAUUGACUUCCUAAAAAACUCAAAACUCUUGACUAUGAGACCGCUUCUAGUUGGAGUGUGUGCUCCAUUCAGAAAACAACCACUCGAGUGCACCUGACCCAUUCCCAGUCCACGUUUCUCAAAUGUUGUUUAGCAGAAGAAACUUUUCUUUUUCUUCAAUCCUCAAACAAAAUCUCACCCAAAGCACCCAUAUAUAAAAAGAGACGAAAGAGGCUCUGAUGGUGGUAGGUUUGGAGGGUUCAAUGGAUCCAUUUUCUGGGCUCCUCUCAACCCCAUUCCUUCUUUCUCAGUCCAUCUCAGUGAUCAGAAUGAACUUUUCAUUUGUUCAAAUGAAAGCAAUGAAUUUCACAGCCUGUCUGUGAUCCUCCGUGCCUCACUUUAUCCUGUGACAUUGAAUUGAAAUCACAGGCUCAUGACCAAUGCAUGCACCAGCAAGGAUGAACCUCACACGUGCUUUGCUGAGUGAAAGAAGCCGGACACAGAAAAGCACAUCACAACGUACCCUUUUAUUCCGUUGAUAUGAAAUUCCAGAACAGACAAAAUAAAUCUAUAGUGACAGCAGAUUCGUGAUUGCUUCUGGGGGGCAGGCGGGCAGGGCAGGGACUUAUUAAGGAGGGGCAGGAGAGAAUAAUCUCGGGUGAUAGGAAAUUCUCUGUUGUGAUGCUGGUUUGGUUACAAGGUGUUUGCUCUUGUCAACUCAUCAAGUCACACAUGAGAUGUGCAUUUUGUUAUAUGUAAAUUUCACCUAAACAUAAGCAUAAACAAACACGAGCUUUAGCUCAUGAGAUGCAUGCUGAAGUGUUCAGGGAUGAAGUGCACUGAGAUUGCCACUUGCUUUGAAAUGCAUCAAAAAUCAGAGAGGUUGAUGGAUGGGUUGAGAGAGAAACACCAUGGAACCAAUACGGCCAAAUGUUCAAUGUAAAGUCUAGGUGGUGCUGUAUAGCUGUUGACCAUACAAUUCAUUAAACUAUGUUUGAAGACAUCCAUCAUGACAUGUGAGGGGGAAAAUAUUUAUAAGAAUUCCAUAGUGUUGAAGGGAGAGAAGAGACAGCCAACCUGGUUUCCUGUUGCAGAAUAAUUUUUAUUUCAGACUUUUUUUUUUUUUUUUUUUUUUUUGAGACGGAAUCUCACUCUGUCACCCAAACUGGAGUGCAGUGGCGCGAUCUCGGCUCACUGCAAGCUCUGCCUCCCGGGUUCACGCCCUUCUCCUGCCUCAGCCUCUGGGGUAGCUGGGACUACAGGCGCCCACCACCUUGCCCAGCUAAUUUUUGUAAUUUUAGUAGAGACAGGGUUUCACUGUGUUAGCCAGGAUAGUCUCAAUCUCCUGACCUCGUGAUCUGCCCACUUCGACCUCCCAAAGUGCUGGGAUUACAGGCGUGAGCCACUGCACCCGGCCUCAGGCUUCUAAAUAUUCUCUUCGAAAUACUUUCCAAGGUUUUCUUUUCUGCCCACUCCUUUAGAACAUUUUCUUCCAUUUUCUUUCACUUUUUAAAAGGUUGUUUUUGGGAGGUAAAAUGUGCAUACGAUAAAAUUUUACCUUCCAGUGUACAGUUCUAUGAGUUUGACAACGGCAUGUGGUUGCAUGACCACCACUAUCAUCAACCAUCAUUUCACAUAAUUCCCUUGCAUUCCCCUGUAGCCAGC
This 2260-nucleotide long non-coding RNA is filed under the name Homo sapiens (human). Its description in RNAcentral is "HSALNT0118108". Lineage: Eukaryota; Metazoa; Chordata; Mammalia; Primates; Hominidae. The record is from RNAcentral.